UGGGGAAUUUUGGACAAUGGGCGCAAGCCUGAUCCAGCCAUGCCGCGUGCGGGAAGAAGGCCUUCGGGUUGUAAACCGCUUUUGUCAGGGAAGAAAUCUUCUGGAGUUAACUACCUCGGGAGGAUGACGGUACCUGAAGAAUAAGCACCGGCUAACUACGUGCCAGCAGCCGCGGUAAUACGUAGGGUGCAAGCGUUAAUCGGAAUUACUGGGCGUAAAGCGUGCGCAGGCGGUUUUNUAAGACAGAGGUGAAAUCCCGGGCUCAACCUGGGAACUGCCUUUGUGACUGCAAGGCUUGAGGUGCGGGCAGAGGGGGGAUGGGAAUUCCGCGUGUAGCAGUGAAAUGCGUAGAUAUGCGGAGGAACACCGAUGGCGAAGGCAAUCCCCUGGGCCUGCACUGACGCUCAUGCACGAAAGCGU
Molecule: ribosomal RNA, 420 nt
Filed under: uncultured bacterium
Lineage: Bacteria
Description: partial 16S ribosomal RNA
Rfam family: Bacterial small subunit ribosomal RNA
Source: RNAcentral